AGUAACGCGUGAGGAACCUGCCUUUCAGAGGGGGACAACAGUUGGAAACGACUGCUAAUACCGCAUAACACAUAGGUGUCGCAUGGCAUUUAUGUCAAAGAUUUAUCGCUGAAAGAUGGCCUCGCGUCUGAUUAGCUAGUUGGUAGGGUAACGGCCUACCAAGGCGACGAUCAGUAGCCGGACUGAGAGGUUGGCCGGCCACAUUGGGACUGAGAUACGGCCCAGACUCCUACGGGAGGCAGCAG
Molecule: ribosomal RNA, 245 nt
Filed under: uncultured bacterium
Lineage: Bacteria
Description: partial 16S ribosomal RNA
Rfam family: Bacterial small subunit ribosomal RNA
Source: RNAcentral